Molecule: ribosomal RNA, 536 nt
Filed under: Diaporthe arctii
Lineage: Eukaryota; Fungi; Ascomycota; Sordariomycetes; Diaporthales; Diaporthaceae
Description: eukaryotic LSU rRNA
Rfam family: Eukaryotic large subunit ribosomal RNA
Source: RNAcentral
CGGCGAGUGAAGCGGCAACAGCUCAAAUUUGAAAUCUGGCCUCGGCCCGAGUUGUAAUUUGCAGAGGAUGCUUCUGGCGCGGUGCCUUCCGAGUUCCCUGGAACGGGACGCCACAGAGGGUGAGAGCCCCGUAUGGUCGGACACCAAGCCUGUGUGAAGCUCCUUCGACGAGUCGAGUAGUUUGGGAAUGCUGCUCUAAAUGGGAGGUAAAUCUCUUCUAAAGCUAAAUACCGGCCAGAGACCGAUAGCGCACAAGUAGAGUGAUCGAAAGAUGAAAAGCACCUUGAAAAGGGGGUUAAAUAGUACGUGAAAUUGUUGAAAGGGAAGCACUUGUGACCAGACUUGGGCCGGGCGGCUCAUCAGGGGUUCUCCCCUGUGCACUCCGCCCGGCACAGGCCAGCAUCGGUUCUCGUGGGGGGAUAAGACCGUCAGGAACGUAGCACCCUCCGGGGUGUGUUAUAGCCUGGCGGACGAUACCCCCGUGGGGACCGAGGUUCGCGCUCCGCAAGGAUGCUGGCGUAAUGGUCACCAACGUG